AGCUGGAAUCGCUAGUAAUCGCGAAUCAGAAUGUCGCGGUGAAUACGUUCCCGGGUCUUGUACACACCGCCCGUCACACCAUGGGAGUCGGGAAUGCCCGAAGUCAGUGACCCAACCUUUGGAGGGAGCUGCCGAAGGCAGGUCUGAUAACUGGGGUGAAGUCGUAACAAGGUACC
Molecule: ribosomal RNA, 176 nt
Filed under: uncultured bacterium
Lineage: Bacteria
Description: partial 16S ribosomal RNA
Rfam family: Bacterial small subunit ribosomal RNA
Source: RNAcentral